Molecule: ribosomal RNA, 387 nt
Filed under: Trachylepis tessellata
Lineage: Eukaryota; Metazoa; Chordata; Lepidosauria; Squamata; Scincidae
Description: partial 12S ribosomal RNA
Rfam family: Bacterial small subunit ribosomal RNA
Source: RNAcentral
GCUUAGCCCUAAACAUAGACAGCAAAGCACACAAUACUGUCCGCCAGAGAACUACAAGUGAAAAACUAGAAACUCUAAGGACUUGGCGGUGCCCCAAACCGGCCUAGAGGAGCCUGUCCUAUAAUCGAUAAUCCACGUUGUACCUCACCAUUUCUUGAAACUCAGCCUAUAUACCGCCGUCGCAAGCCUACCUUAUGAAAGAAACAAAGUAGACAAAACAGUUAAUAACUAAAACGUCAGGUCAAGGUGUAGCACAUGAAAUGGAAGAGAUGGGCUACAUUUUCUACUACAGAAUAACACGAACAGCACAGUGAAACCCGUGCUCAAAGGCGGAUUUAGCAGUAAGACGAACAAGAAAAUUUAUCUUAACCCCGCUCUGGGGCGCGC